CGGGUGAGUAAUGCGUGACCAACCUGCCCCAUGCUCCAGAAUAGCUCUUGGAAACGGGUGGUAAUGCUGGAUGCUCCAACUUGACGCAUGUCUUGUUGGGAAAGUGUUUAGUGGCAUGGGAUGGGGUCGCGUCCUAUCAGCUUGUAGGCGGGGUAAUGGCCCACCUAGGCUUCGACGGGUAGCCGGCCUGAGAGGGCGGACGGCCACAUUGGGACUGAGAUACAGCCCAGACUCCUACGGGAGGCAGCAGUU
RNAcentral lists this ribosomal RNA (252 nucleotides) under uncultured Gardnerella sp. RNAcentral describes it as "partial 16S ribosomal RNA". It matches the Rfam family "Bacterial small subunit ribosomal RNA", at positions 103 to 355 of the family's 1533-position model. Lineage: Bacteria; Bacillati; Actinomycetota; Actinomycetes; Bifidobacteriales; Bifidobacteriaceae. The record is from RNAcentral.